UACGUAGGUGGCAAGCGUUGUCCGGAAUUACUGGGUGUAAAGGGAGCGCAGGCGGGAAGCCAAGUCAGCUGUGAAAACUAUGGGCUUAACUUGUAGACUGCAGUUGAAACUGGUUUUCUUGAGUGAAGUAGAGGUUGGCGGAAUUCCGAGUGUAGCGGUGAAAUGCGUAGAUAUUCGGAGGAACACCGGUGGCGAAGGCGGCCAACUGGGCUUUAACUGACGCUGAGGCUCGAAAGUGUGGGGAGCAAACAGG
RNAcentral lists this ribosomal RNA (253 nucleotides) under uncultured bacterium. RNAcentral's name for it is "partial 16S ribosomal RNA". It matches the Rfam family "Bacterial small subunit ribosomal RNA", at positions 524 to 776 of the family's 1533-position model. The record is from RNAcentral.